Molecule: ribosomal RNA, 255 nt
Filed under: uncultured bacterium
Lineage: Bacteria
Description: partial 16S ribosomal RNA
Rfam family: Bacterial small subunit ribosomal RNA
Source: RNAcentral
UACGGAGGGUGCAAGCGUUGCUCGGAAUUACUGGGCGUAAAGCGCGCGUAGGUGGUCUUUUAAGUCCGACUGUGAAAUCCCGGGGCUCAACCCCGUGGGCUGCAGGGGAUACUGGGAGACUGGAGACACGUAGAGGCAAGCGGAAUUCCGGGUGUAGCGGUGGAAUGCGUAGAGAUCCGGAAGAACACCGGAGGCGAAGGCGGCUUGCUGGGCGUGAUCUGACGCUGAGGCGCGAAAGCGUGGGGAGCAAACAGG